UAAUACGUAGGUGGCAAGCGUUGUCCGGAUUUACUGGGCGUAAAGAGCGCGCAGGCGGUCGAGUAAGUCGAAUGUGAAAGCCCCCGGCUCAACUGGGGAGGGUCAUUCGAUACUGAUCGACUCGAAGGCAGGAGAGGGUAGUGGAAUUCCCGGUGUAGUGGUGAAAUGCGUAGAUAUCGGGAGGAACACC
Molecule: ribosomal RNA, 190 nt
Filed under: uncultured bacterium
Lineage: Bacteria
Description: partial 16S ribosomal RNA
Rfam family: Bacterial small subunit ribosomal RNA
Source: RNAcentral